CAGACUAUGCAGAUGGGAGUGAAGACAAAGUAGUAGAAGUAGCAGAGGAGGAAGAAGUGGCUGAGGUGGAAGAAGAAGAAGCCGAUGAUGACGAGGACGAUGAGGAUGGUGAUGAGGUAGAGGAAGAGGCUGAGGAACCCUACGAAGAAGCCACAGAGAGAACCACCAGCAUUGCCACCACCACCACCACCACCACAGAGUCUGUGGAAGAGGUGGUUCGAGAGGUGUGCUCUGAACAAGCCGAGACGGGGCCAUGCCGAGCAAUGAUCUCCCGCUGGUACUUUGAUGUGACUGAAGGGAAGUGUGCCCCAUUCUUUUACGGCGGAUGUGGCGGCAACCGGAACAACUUUGACACAGAAGAGUACUGCAUGGCCGUGUGUGGCAGCGUCAUGUCCCAAAGUUUACUCAAGACUACCCAGGAACCUCUUGCCCGAGAUCCUGUUAAACGUACGUUGUCAUUCACCUGAGGGAAGGGAAGAGGGGAGGAGGAUGCUGCUUGGUUCACAUAACUCCAGCAUCAUCACCUUCUUUGCAUGGUUUUGUGUUUCUUGAACACCUGUCUUAGUAAAAUGUUUCUUCCCAUUACCUUGCUUGUAAUUACAUCUGAUUUUGCCAGACA
This 619-nucleotide small RNA is filed under the name Pan troglodytes (chimpanzee). RNAcentral's name for it is "processed transcript". Lineage: Eukaryota; Metazoa; Chordata; Mammalia; Primates; Hominidae. The record is from RNAcentral.